AUUGAACGCUGGCGGCAUGCUUUACACAUGCAAGUCGAACGGUAACAGGCCGCAAGGUGCUGACAUGUGGCGAACGGGUGAGUAAUGCAUCGGAACGUGCCCAGUCGUGGGGUAUAACGCAGCGAAAGCUGUGCUAAUACCUCAUACGAUCCAGGGAUGAAAGCGGGGGACCGUAAGGCCCGGCGCGAUUGGAGCGGCCGAUGUCAGAUUAGGUAGUUGGUGGGGUAAAGGCUCACCAAGCCAACGAUCUGUAGCUGGUCUGAGAGGACGACCAGCCACACUGGGACUGAGACACGGCCCAGACUCCUACGGGAGGCAGCAGUGGGGAAUUUUGGACAAUGGGCGCAAGCCUGAUCCAGCAAUGCUGCGUGCAGGAAGAAGGCCUUCGGGUUGUAAACUGCUUUUGUACGGAACGAAACGGCGAGCUCUAAUACAGUUUGCUAAUGACGGUACCGUAAGAAUAAGCACCGGCUAACUGCGUGCCAGCCGCCGCAGUAA
RNAcentral lists this ribosomal RNA (498 nucleotides) under uncultured bacterium. Its description in RNAcentral is "partial 16S ribosomal RNA". It matches the Rfam family "Bacterial small subunit ribosomal RNA", at positions 30 to 523 of the family's 1533-position model. The record is from RNAcentral.